GGAAAAAAAUAAUAAUAAUAGAAAUAUUCGAGUAAACGUGUUUGAUAUACCACGUAUAGGUUUCCAAACGUGUAGGUUUCUAACAUUAGCGUGGCGUGCAUAUAAUCAACGUAAGUGUUGUUUACACUUUCAGUUAUAGAAUAUUAUUAUAGGUAAAUUUUUAAACAAACAAUUUAAGUCAUAAUCAAGUUCAAAUAAUGUAAAAUUAUCUAUUGCGUUUUGAAAUAGUAUAAGGAAAUGACAUAUAAAUACCUUUCAAAUAUGAUUUAAAUCGUUUUCGAUAAUAUGCAUGUUAAAUAAAUGGCUCGUUUGAGGUAGGUAGUAAAAUUAUAUGGAGAGUAUAAUAAGUAAGUAUACAAUUAUUGGUGAUCGCUUACAUCACUGAUUACAUAACGACACGCCACUGGUUUCUAAACUUAAAACAUUUAAAAAUAUACAUAUCAUUAAACGAUAUCACGAUCAAUUUUGUUUUAUCCAUCAGUAAUUAUUGUCAGUUUCAGUAACAAAAUCCGAAUUCUUUAAGAAAGCUUUGUCAGUGAAAUUUUUUAUCGGAACAAGUCAGUUUAACCGGAAAACUUUUUUAACAGUCAUAAAAACAGAAAAUAUCACACCCAUGCACAUCAUGGUAAAGCCGCACAAAAAAACAUAAAAAGCCAGAAUAUUGUGGAUGUUUUUUCCAUCGUUGAUCCUUAACUUCUUCUAAGGGACAGACAAUUUUCAUGAGUAGAUCUCACUGUUUUAGGUGGAAAUUUUAGGAAGGUAAGAUAUAUACAUAGGACUCAUAGAUUGUAUACGCAAUAAUAAAUCUUUAUUUACAAAAAACGAUUUUGAGCGAGUUAAUCAUAGUUUGAACAACUUAAAUUG
Non-coding RNA from Cinara cedri, 864 nucleotides. NCBI's taxonomy places the organism in Eukaryota, Metazoa, Arthropoda, Insecta, Hemiptera, Aphididae. The record is from the annotation of a GenBank genome assembly.